CUUCUACCUCUAUCUCUUAACAGGGCAGCUCUUCUACCUUCUUUGCCUUUUCUUGGCAACAGAAUUUGGCUCUUAUGCAUUUCUCUCUAAUUGGUUAAUCACAUUGUAUUGACUGCAACAUUAGAACCAAUAGUUCAGGCCUUCCCAAUUGUCCUGACCAUGUCACUGGCAUACUGACACACGCCCAUGAACAAAGGCUUCAUCACACAAGGAAGACACACUAUGACCCGCUGCGGUUUUCUUCCACUUCAGUUGUAGCCCUGCAUGCUUUCUGGGGAGCACACUCUAGCCACCGAGAUGAAGGCACGGGGAGGCCCGACCGUAGGUCGAACACGUCAGUCAGUGGCUGAUCCUUCCCAUGGUCUCUGGAUACACCAGUGAAGGCAGGAGGUGAAGUCUCCCAGAUCACCUGGGAACAGCCAUGGACACUUGUCUGGGGCUGCAUGAGACAGUGUCUGAGACUCACCUUUGACACAAAUGUAACUGAAGGGGAGAAGCUGCCCCUGGGCAAGCCGGUCAGCUGAAACCACUCAAGAGCCCCCAGUGCAACACCAGGUCUGCAGCUUCACUUCUGAGGCCUGCGAGACAACGAACCCAGCGGGAGGAAUGAACAACUCCAGACGCGCCGCCUUAAGAGCUGUAACACUCACCGC
RNAcentral lists this long non-coding RNA (653 nucleotides) under Homo sapiens (human). RNAcentral describes it as "HSALNT0329599". The record is from RNAcentral. Lineage: Eukaryota; Metazoa; Chordata; Mammalia; Primates; Hominidae.